Molecule: long non-coding RNA, 836 nt
Organism: Pyrus x bretschneideri (Chinese white pear)
Lineage: Eukaryota; Viridiplantae; Streptophyta; Magnoliopsida; Rosales; Rosaceae
Exons: 3
Source: RefSeq, a predicted model, not a curated record
GACAUGCCAAAUUGUUUUGAGUGCUUGCAAGAUGAAGCUAAGUCUGGGUUGGAAUGGCUUCAUCAAUGUGCAGAAAAUGAGCUACAAGUUGACCUCAAUGAUAAGGACAUCAAAAGAUUUCAUUGAGUUUUUCACAAAACUUGCUGGAUUGACUAGGUUAUGUUCCACUAAAGAUAUUACACUAUUUUUCUGAUUGGAUAAGUUGAUUCGGGUUACAAUGAUAUAGCUUUUUAGAUUAUUCAUACUAAGAAUUAGUUUUGCUAAGUGGGAAUGCUGUGAUUGAAAUUUUAUAGAAAUGAUGAACGGGCCAAUCUGAAAUACCAAAUUUCAACUGAUGAACUCACUCUUAUAUGACUAUUACUGCAUAUACUCAUCUUUUAUUUCGUUGAGUUUUAUUUUUAUUUCAUUAUUUUGGGUUUCGCAAAGAACUGAAUUUUAUCUUAUUUAUAGCUCUAUACGCAUGUAGUUUUUCUCUUUUUUGGUUUCAAGUAUUUCGUUGGUUUUAUUUAACAAUCUUUUGGAGUAUAGAGAAUCAUUGCACCAAUGUUUUAUUCUUGGAUUUCCUGAUGAUUUGGCAUUGAGAUGUAAAGCAAAGGUGUCUCAUGGGAACCAUAGAUUGCUCGAAACUAUCUCAAAGAAGUGGAGAGAUUUGUUACGUAGCUUCAGACUAUGCCAACUAUGAAGCUCUAGAAAAAUGGUGCGGAAAUUGGCUGUUUGUCAUUGACGAGAAGGAAAGGUUUUUCGUUCUUCAUUUCUUGCUAUAUCAUCUUGGGUUGUGCAAACUAUUCAUUAUAGGGGAUUCCUUCAUAUAUAUAUAUAGUUAAUUCUUGCUAAGA